This 379-nucleotide unclassified non-coding RNA is filed under the name uncultured Pseudomonadota bacterium. RNAcentral describes it as "uncultured proteobacterium contains 16S-23S intergenic spacer region". Lineage: Bacteria; Pseudomonadati; Pseudomonadota. The record is from RNAcentral.
UCUCGGCUUAUCACCGGCAGUCCCCUUAGAGUGCCCAACUGAAUGCUGGCAACUAAGGGCGAGGGUUGCGCUCGUUGCGGGACUUAACCCAACAUCUCACGACACGAGCUGACGACAGCCAUGCAGCACCUGUGGCGGCCCCCCGAGGGGAGGCCCGGGUCUCCCCGGGCCGCGGCCGCCAUGUCAAGGGCUGGUAAGGUUCUGCGCGUUGCGUCGAAUUAAACCACAUGCUCCACCGCUUGUGCGGGCCCCCGUCAAUUCCUUUGAGUUUCAGUCUUGCGACCGUACUCCCCAGGCGGAGUGCUUAACGCGUUAGCUGCGGCACCGCGGGGGUCAAUACCCACAGCACCUAGCACUCAUCGUUUACGGCAUGGACUAC